GGGGACAACCCGCCGAAAGGCGGGCUAAACCCGCGUACAUGCCACCGGGGCAUCCCGGAGGCAGGAAAGGCUUCGGCCGGACAGGGAUGGGCAUGCGGCGCAUUAGGCAGUAGGCGGGGUAACGGCCCACCUAACCGACGAUGCGUAGGGGUUCUGAGAGGAAGGUCCCCCACACUGGUACUGAGACACGGACCAGACUCCUACGGGAGGCAGCAGUGAGGAAUAUUGGUCAAUGGUCGGGAGACUGAACCAGCCAAGCCGCGUGAGGGAUGAAGGUACAGAGUAUCGUAAACCUCUUUUGUCAGGGAACAAAGGCGGGGACGUGUCCCCGGAUGAGUGUACCUGAAGAAAAAGCAUCGGCUAACUCCGUGCCAGCAGCCGCGGUAAUACGGAGGAUGCGAGCGUUAUCCGGAUUUAUUGGGUUUAAAGGGUGCGCAGGCGGUCUGUUAAGUCAGCGGUCGAAGCCCGGGGCUCAACCCCGGUCCGCCGUUGAAACUGGCAGUCUCGAGUUGGAGAGAAGUAUGCGGAAUGCGCGGUGUAGCGGUGAAACGCAUAGAUAUCGCGCAGAACUCCGAUUGCGAAGGCAGCAUGCCGGCUCCACACUGACGCUGAGGCACGAAAGCGUGGGUAUCGAACAGGAUUAGAUACCCUGGUAGUCCACGCAGUAAACG
RNAcentral lists this ribosomal RNA (671 nucleotides) under uncultured bacterium. Its description in RNAcentral is "bacterial SSU rRNA". It matches the Rfam family "Bacterial small subunit ribosomal RNA", at positions 139 to 808 of the family's 1533-position model. The record is from RNAcentral.